UCACAACAGAAUUGCUUUGGUUUAACAGAAAACUGUCAGGACUGCUGAUUUUCUUUUGCCUGCCUCCAUCACAAGCGUGCUACUCCGGGAUCUGAUUCACUUCUCUUAGAUCUGAGCAGUUUUCAGCUCUGGAAGGAUUUGUGGUAUUGGUGUAAUGGUAACUUCACUGCAAUCUGAUCAGGCACUUCUUUAGGUAAGGACUUUUAUAACUCUAAGAAAGCGUUUAUUUCUGUGCCCCUUCUUCCCUCCCAGCCCUCUUCCAUUUAGCUUUCUGGUAACUUUUCUGGUUGGUGGGUGAUGUUUAUUUGGGUGAUCCAUGUACACUGCCAUAAAAUGAAGAUCAAAUGCUGGAGUGCCUCACGCCUGCCUCUCAUUUCAAAUUGUAGGUAUCUACUCCACUGUGUGGCCCUUCUCUGAAAUGUAGUGAGAGGUUUAACUGAUGUGCCAUGGAAUGUGGUAUCUUGCUUGUGCUGUAGUUAGGAGGUGUAUAAACAGUGCUGUGCGAAAAUAGCACUGCUCAAAUUUCUCCUAUUUAAAAGGAUUUAAUAAUAAAAGAAGAAGGGACAAGAUGAGUUUCCUGAAUGUCUCAAUUUGGGAGCAAUUCGGAUUUCUAAAUUUUGCUUUCAUGAAAUAGUCCUCAAGGUUUAAUCAAAAUCUUACCGGUAUUCACUCCUCUCCCUUUGUGAGGGACAAACUGACCAAAUGGAUUUUAGCAGAAUAUACCACAAAAUCGGCUUUGUGUGAGCAAAGUUGCUUUUGCUUUUUCUGUCUGAGUCCAUGUGUAAAAAUACAAGACUUGCAUGGGUUUUCUUGGAUUUGGCUGUAGAUGACUCAGCCACAAUCGAGUCUGCAAAACUGCCCUGCUUCUGUAUGUUCAGAAAUAGUCAGCCGUGCGGUUGUGAAGGGAGUGAAAACACAAUCAAGGGGCUGACAGAGGCCUUGGCAUGGGUUGACUGAAUUUCAGCCUGGCGAUGAGAAGGCUCUGGAAUACAGCUGCUCUGUCUCGAGGGAAACCAUCGGUCCUCGGGCAACUUCGUGCAUUACUUUGUGUUUGUUUUGUUUUUCAAUGCUGCACUGGAUUGUGAAAGGGAAAAUGCUUUACUACGUGUUGCUGCCACCAAAACACGCUUUGUCAGUGCCCCCGAAGAAAACAGCUUUUACAGCUCGUGAGGUAAAGGCGGCAGUGACUUCUGAGAAAUCACAGUUGCAGAACAGACUGACAGAUAAGAAUGUUAUAAAAGAACACGUAGCAAAAGCAGUAUUAGAAAAGGUGCGUCCUUGAAACCUUGAAAGCAGAGAACCACAAAAAAGCAUUUAGUAACGGAACGGUACAAGCUGGAAAGAGCAACUUGCAAUCCUCAUGCUGAUCUCCAGGUGUCGUGCAUGUGGAGAACCAUGGCCUUGUGAGCAGGGUGAGAAUAUUCCCUCCCUAUUUUCUGUUUUCUUUUUUCAGAGAAACCUUUUUCAUCCAAAGUUGAACCUUGGCAGGGGUAAAAAUAAGGGAAACGCUUUAUCCGACAGUGUUUUUAAACUGAAAAAACACCUCUUAGUACCCAACAUGUAACCCCCACUUUUUCAGAAAACAAACAAAAAGUCCUCACACAACCUUUAGUUACAGCCAGGAAAUCCAAAUUUAUAUUGCAAUUUUCUUCUCUGUUUCUCCCAAACUUCUGCUGGGUGCCUGUAGAAAGAAUUGAAAUAUCCUGGAAUUGGAACGGACUUGAAGGGAGCUUACUUCCAGAGCUGAGCUGAGGCCUGUAUUUUUUUUGGCAGGAGGGGAUGGAGAGGAGCAAAGAGGGGAGGGUUUAACAUGUGCUUUUUUUUUUUUCCUUGCACUUCUUGUGGCAUCUAAAUCAAGCUCCUCGUUUGUUACCGUAAUCACACUACACAUAAUUGCCGUGAAUUGCCGUUUGUACCAGACUGUUACUAAAUCAUUAGCACUGAUAAUUCCUUGUAUAAAUGAAACUGUCUUUUAGUCUUUGUGAUGAGAGAUAGGUGGGUGGGGUUUGGGUUUUUUUCUGAAUGAAGUAGUUAUUGCAGUAGUGCUAUGGACACUAAGGAUAUUUUUUGAGAAAGGAAAAAACAAAACAAAACACAUGGGUCAGUUACUGCAUGUGUUUGAAGACUUCUAUUUAUUCUAUGAACUUAAAAUGUUUUAGUAAAAUGUCAUCAGCUCUCUUUGCUGUUGUAUGUGUGCACUUAUUGCAAGUAAAUUUAAGUAUCUUUUUAUUUGAAUGUAUCUUAAAACAGUAGAUAGAAUAACAGUCGAUUCUGAAAAAAAAAAAUCAUGGACUUAAUGGACCAUUUUAUAUACCCAGAGGAAGAAAGCAAUACCAUAUGAGAACUUUAAAGUGUAGAAGUGAAUCAUGCAAUCAGGAAUUAUUAUUUAGCCUUUAAAUAAGCAGUAGGAACUGUCCACCCACCAGAGAAAGCAAUUGUAACACACAAAAAAAGAAAUUUAAAUUUUUCUUCACUAAUAUAAAUAAAAUAACAGAAAAGUUGCAUUGUUGUGUAUUAUUAAACUCUUUUCUUGUUCUUUUAAGGUGAUAGAUAUUGCACCUUGAUCCCUUGCUUUCAUCUCUCUCAAAGCAAAAUAAUAGGCCAUCACCAGGUUUGGUUUUCAAAUUCUUGGACACAGAAGUGGCUAAAGGGUUUUGAGAUUUUAAGAUUGCUGGAGCUGGUGAAAUUUGGGUCAAAACAAAAAAAUAUAGAAGCAAAUGCAGUUUAUUUGAAUUCCAAAAAAGAAGAAUUGGAUGUUGUGUGGGGUUUUAUGUAUUUUGAGCAGGAGGGGGGUGUGAACUCUCCUGUCUAAUAUUGAUGCAAAAACUGUAGUGACAAAACAUGAAAGUGCAGAAUAAGGAGUAAACACCCUGUGUUUUCCAACAGAGACAGAAGUGAGGUCUGCUGCGAGCUAGUGUCUUCGUUACUGAGGGAGGAAACAGCCCACUAAUUAAAUGCCAGAUAUCACAAUGGGCGCAGUCAGGUGGCUUUGGGAGUGAGGACCCAGCCCUGCAAAUCCAGUUCCUGAAUCCCUUUGGCUAUCACCUUGGUCAGAAGCUUCAGCCCCUGAGCUCAUU
This is a long non-coding RNA of Calidris pugnax (ruff), 3077 nucleotides long. RefSeq lists it as uncharacterized. The transcript has 3 exons. The record is from RefSeq and is a predicted model, not a curated record. Lineage: Eukaryota; Metazoa; Chordata; Aves; Charadriiformes; Scolopacidae.